UACGGAGGAUCCGAGCGUUAUCCGGAUUUAUUGAGUUUAAAGGGUGCGCAGGCGGGAGAUUAAGUCGGCGGUGAAAUUUUGCAGCUCAACUGUAAAAGUGCCUUCGAAACUGGUUUCCUUGAGUGUAGAUGAAGUAGGCGGAAUUUGUGGUGUAGCGGCGAAAUGCUUAGAUAUCACGAGGAACUCCGAUUGCGCAGGCAGCUUACUAAACUACUACUGACGCUCAGGCACGAAGGCGUGGGGAUCAAACAGGAUUAGAUACCCCCGUAGUCCCU
RNAcentral lists this ribosomal RNA (275 nucleotides) under uncultured prokaryote. RNAcentral's name for it is "partial 16S ribosomal RNA". It matches the Rfam family "Bacterial small subunit ribosomal RNA", at positions 524 to 798 of the family's 1533-position model. The record is from RNAcentral.